ACUCCCUACGGGGAGGCAAGCCAGUGGGAUAUUGCACAAUGGGCGCAAGCCUGAUGCAGCCAUGCCGCGUGUGUGAAGAAGGCCUUCGGGUUGUAAAGCACUUUUCAGUCGUGAGGAAGGUAGUGUAGUUAAUAGCUGCAUUAUUUGACGUUAGCGACAGAAGAAGCACCGGCUAACUCCGUGCCAGCAGCCGCGGUAAUACGGAGGGUGCGAGCGUUAAUCGGAAUUACUAGGGCGUAAAAGCGCAUGCAGGUGGUUUGUUAAGUCAGAUGUGAAAAGCCCGGGGACUCAACCUCGGAAUAGCAUUUGAAACUGGACAGACUAGAGUACUGUAGAGGGGGGUAG
This 345-nucleotide ribosomal RNA is filed under the name uncultured bacterium. RNAcentral describes it as "bacterial SSU rRNA". It matches the Rfam family "Bacterial small subunit ribosomal RNA", at positions 335 to 664 of the family's 1533-position model. The record is from RNAcentral.